This 382-nucleotide unclassified non-coding RNA is filed under the name uncultured Chthoniobacteraceae bacterium. RNAcentral describes it as "contains 16S-23S intergenic spacer region". The record is from RNAcentral. Lineage: Bacteria; Pseudomonadati; Verrucomicrobiota; Spartobacteria; Chthoniobacterales; Chthoniobacteraceae.
UCCGGUUUGGCACCGGCGGUCUCCCUAGAGUUCCCGGCAUGAUCCGCUGGCAACUAAGGAUAGGGGUUGCGCUCGUUGCGCCACUUAACCCAACAUCUCAUGACACGAGCUGACGACAGCCAUGCAGCACCUGUGCAAAUUCUCCCUUGCGGGAGUCGCCGGCUUUCACCGGUUUAGAGAUGCAUGUCAAGGCCAGGUAAGGUUCUUCGCGUUGCAUCGAAUUAAGCCACAUACUCCACCGCUUGUGCGGGCCCCCGUCAAUUUCUUUGAGUUUUAAUCUUGCGACCGUACUCCCCAGGCGGCACGUUUAACGCGUUAGCUCCGGCACGGAAGGGGUCGAAUCCUCCCACACCAAACGUGCACCGUUUACUGCCAGGACUAC